This 246-nucleotide ribosomal RNA is filed under the name uncultured bacterium. RNAcentral describes it as "partial 16S ribosomal RNA". It matches the Rfam family "Bacterial small subunit ribosomal RNA", at positions 8 to 245 of the family's 1533-position model. The record is from RNAcentral.
AGAGUUUGAUCCUGGCUCAGGAUGAACGCUAGCUACAGGCUUAACACAUGCAAGUCGAGGGGCAGCAUGAACUUAGCUUGCUAAGUUUGAUGGCGACCGGCGCACGGGUGAGUAACACGUAUCCAACCUGCCGAUGACUCGGGGAUAGCCUUUCGAAAGAAAGAUUAAUACCCGAUGGCAUAGUUCUUCCGCAUGGUGGAACUAUUAAAGAAUUUCGGUCAUCGAUGGGGAUGCGUUUCAUUUAGG